GGAUUGAGCCCUGGCACCACACAAGGUGGCCCAGGCCUCCAAUGACAGCAGAGGGCAAAGCUCUCAGUGCAUGCGAUGGUGCACAGGGCCACCUGCAAGCGGCAGCCCCAGCUGAGUCAGUGGCCUAGGAGGCCAUGCCCAUGAGGAGCAACUCGGAUGACAGGACGAGGACAGCCCAUCCAGGCCAUGGAGUCAUGAGCUGUUGGGGAAAGGAUUCCCACAGGGGAGGGGAGCUACCCCAGCUGUGAGGUAGUUUAUCCUCGGGAAAGUUUGAGCUAACCAGUUGUUGAGGCACCUUAUACUUUGUAGGAGAGUGCCUCCUAGUCUGUAACACUGCACCUUAUAUUUUGUGGACAUUUUAACUUUGUUUAUUAGUUGUUUAAUAGAGUGUUAUGUAUAAACUUCUUAAGGGAUACUGCUGGGACCCCUUCCCUGAUAGUUAUAUAUACUUACUUAUAGAUAUUUGUGUUUUGACUGUUGUUUAAUUGUAUUUAUAUGUACUCACCUGUACUUACCUGUUGUCUGUCUAUUUUAGAUCAACUGUUUGUCAACACAUUGCUAAGGGCUACCUGGACUGGUGUAAUCUUUCAGCCUUUAUCUG
Molecule: long non-coding RNA, 601 nt
Organism: Gavialis gangeticus (Gharial)
Lineage: Eukaryota; Metazoa; Chordata; Crocodylia; Gavialidae
Exons: 2
Source: RefSeq, a predicted model, not a curated record